RNAcentral lists this transfer RNA (74 nucleotides) under Marmota monax (woodchuck). RNAcentral describes it as "tRNA.Ala". Lineage: Eukaryota; Metazoa; Chordata; Mammalia; Rodentia; Sciuridae. The record is from RNAcentral.
GGGGUUGUGGCUCAGUGGUAGAGUACUUGCCUAGCAAGUGAGAGGCACUGGGAUAGAUCCUCAACACAAUAUCU